UCCCAACGGGGCGGGAGGGCAAUGUGGUGUUUAGGAAUAGCGCGACCGAAGGUUGAUCUAAGCGCAAGUCCUCCUGACUGGGGCUCUCGCCCAUCGAGGGUGCAAGGCCCGCCGUCGCUUAUGAUCUCCGGCGGAAGCAAAAUUCCUUGGAGUCGGGUUGCUUGAGAGUGCAGCCCUAAGUGGGUGGUAAACUCCAUCUAAGGCUAAAUACGACCACGAAACCGAUAGCGAACAAGUACCGUGAGGGAAAGUUGAAAAGAACUUUGAAGAGAGAGUUCAAGAGUGCGUGAAACCGUUUAGAGGUAAACGGGUGGGCCCUCGAAGGUGAUCGUCGGAGGGAUUCAGUCGGACGUGACCGUAAGCGUCGUUCGUCUCUAACGGUGCGGACCUCGGUCGGCCGGGCGGGCGAAGGCUGCGGGCCGUUUGGCGCAUUUCCUUCCGUUCGAACUACGCUGCGACCAGUCUGGUCACUGAAAGUUGUCGUCCUUGAAAACGGGCAACGGAAGGUGGCCGGCGGCGUCUCUCGGGAUGCCGUCGGUGUUUAUAGCCGGUUCGUUUCACGAGUGAGCGUUCAUCAGACUGGGGACGAUUCUAGCCCUGUGCGGGCUACGCCGAGCACUCCGUUUCUCGGAGCGUUGCGGGGCGACUGGAUGCGCCUGCGGUCGGGAGUUUCACCUUUGCGUGGGCUAACGCCGUAGGUCUCCGUAAGCUCGUUCCGUACUCGCCGUUGCUCAGGUUCCCGCGGACCUCGCGUUCGCGGGCGCACCAAGGGCCCGUCCCGGUCGCCUCGUCGACGGGGCGGAUCGGUCCUAAGGGAUAGGAGAAAUCCGUUCCGAGGCGGGACAUAAUUUAUUAUGAAAGUCCCGCUGAUGACCGAAAGGGAAUCGGGUUAAUAUUCCCGAACCCGGACGCGGAGAUCGUCCUCUUCGGAGGUACAUUGCGGUAACGCAAACGAGCUCGGAGACGUCGACGGGAGCACCGGGAAGAGUUAUCUUUUCUUUGUAAGGAUUCGACUCCCUGGAAUCGGCUCGCCCGGAGAUAGGGAUGGUGUUUCCGUAAAGCUUCGCACGUCUUGCGGUGUCCGGAUCGCUCCCGUCGGCCCU
This 1103-nucleotide ribosomal RNA is filed under the name Forsteropsalis chiltoni. RNAcentral describes it as "eukaryotic LSU rRNA". It matches the Rfam family "Eukaryotic large subunit ribosomal RNA", at positions 125 to 1805 of the family's 3401-position model. The record is from RNAcentral. Lineage: Eukaryota; Metazoa; Arthropoda; Arachnida; Opiliones; Neopilionidae.